CUAAUUCCCUGGUAGAGUAGAUACCAUGAUCAAGAAGGUGGUUUACAUCUAUUAUUGUACUUUGGGUCUGCUGACCCCCGUGAUUUCCUCAAAUAUGCGAACCUCAAUUGCAUGAUUUGUGGUAGCUGGGAACUGUGUUCUUCCCCAGC
Molecule: small nuclear RNA, 149 nt
Filed under: Peromyscus maniculatus bairdii (prairie deer mouse)
Lineage: Eukaryota; Metazoa; Chordata; Mammalia; Rodentia; Cricetidae
Description: U1 spliceosomal RNA (ENSPEMG00000002173.2)
Rfam family: U1 spliceosomal RNA
About the family: U1 is a small nuclear RNA (snRNA) component of the spliceosome (involved in pre-mRNA splicing).
Source: RNAcentral